GCCGUGGUGGCGGAAUUGGUAGACGCGCUAGCCUUAGGAGCUAGUGUUCUCAGGGACGUGAGAGUUCGAGUCUCUCCCACGGCACCA
This 87-nucleotide transfer RNA is filed under the name Patescibacteria group bacterium. RNAcentral describes it as "tRNA-Leu". It matches the Rfam family "tRNA". From Rfam's summary of the family: Transfer RNA (tRNA) molecules are approximately 80 nucleotides in length. Their secondary structure includes four short double-helical elements and three loops (D, anti-codon, and T loops). Further hydrogen bonds mediate the characteristic L-shaped molecular structure. tRNAs have two regions of fundamental functional importance: the anti-codon, which is responsible for specific mRNA codon recognition, and the 3' end, to which the tRNAs corresponding amino acid is attached (by aminoacyl-tRNA synthetases). tRNAs cope with the degeneracy of the genetic code in two manners: having more than one tRNA (with a specific anti-codon) for a particular amino acid; and 'wobble' base-pairing, i.e. permitting non-standard base-pairing at the 3rd anti-codon position. The record is from RNAcentral.